This 492-nucleotide ribosomal RNA is filed under the name uncultured bacterium. RNAcentral describes it as "partial 16S ribosomal RNA". It matches the Rfam family "Bacterial small subunit ribosomal RNA", at positions 29 to 507 of the family's 1533-position model. The record is from RNAcentral.
AGUGAACGCUGGCGGUAGGCCUAACACAUGCAAGUCGAACGGCAGCACAGUAAGAGCUUGCUCUUACGGGUGGCGAGUGGCGGACGGGUGAGGAAUACAUCGGAAUCUACUUUUUCGUGGGGGCUAACGUAGGGAAACUUACGCUAAUACCGCAUACGACCUACGGGUGAAAGCAGGGGAUCUUCGGACCUUGCGCGAUUGAAUGAGCCGAUGUCGGAUUAGCUAGUUGGCGGGGUAAAGGCCCACCAAGGCGACGAUCCGUAGCUGGUCUGAGAGGAUGAUUCGCCACACUGGAACUGAGACACGGUCCAGACUCCUACGGGAGGCAGCAGUGGGGAAUAUUGGACAAUGGGCGCAAGCCUGAUCCAGCCAUACCGCGUGGGUGAAGAAGGCCUUCGGGUUGUAAAGCGCUUUUGUUGGGAAAGAAAAGCAGCAGGUUAAUACCCCGCUGUUCUGACGGUACCCAAAGAAUAAGCACCGGCUAACUUCGUG